UACGAAGGGGGCUAGCGUUGCUCGGAAUCACUGGGCGUAAAGGGCGCGUAGGCGGCGUUUUAAGUCGGGGGUGAAAGCCUGUGGCUCAACCACAGAAUGGCCUUCGAUACUGGGACGCUUGAGUAUGGUAGAGGUUGGUGGAACUGCGAGUGUAGAGGUGAAAUUCGUAGAUAUUCGCAAGAACACCGGUGGCGAAGGCGGCCAACUGGACCAUUACUGACGCUGAGGCGCGAAAGCGUGGGGAGCAAGCAGG
RNAcentral lists this ribosomal RNA (253 nucleotides) under uncultured bacterium. RNAcentral describes it as "partial 16S ribosomal RNA". It matches the Rfam family "Bacterial small subunit ribosomal RNA", at positions 524 to 776 of the family's 1533-position model. The record is from RNAcentral.